AAAUUUGACCGCUACCAGCAGACGUUCUGUGGACGCAGUUCUUUUGGAUGAAGGAAAUCUUGUUUUGAGAGAUUUGUCAAAUAAUUUGUCAGAGCCGUUAUGGCAAAGUUUUGAUCAUCCAGCUCAUACUUGGAUUCCCGGUAUGAAGUUGACGUUCAACAAGAGAAACAACGUCAGUCAACUUCUCACUUCAUGGAAGAAUAAAGAAAAUCCUGCACCGGGUCUCUUCUCCCUUGAGCUAGCACCAGAUGGAUCAAAUCAAUAUGUUAUUUUGUGGAAUAGGUCUGAGCAGUACUGGAGAAGUGGAACUUGGGAUGAUAAUGCAAAAAUUUUCAGCUUGGUCCCUGAAAUGACACUAAAUUAUAUCUACAAUUUCAGCUAUGUGUCGAAUGAAAACGAGAGCUAUUUCACCUACAAUGUGAAAGAUAGCACUUACACAUCUCGAUUCAUUAUGGAUUUUUCAGGACAGGUUAAGCAGAUGAAUUGGUUGCCUACCAACUCUUGGUUUCUGUUUUGGUCCCAACCAAGACAGCAAUGCGAGGUUUAUGCUUUUUGUGGUCAAUUUAGCACCUGCAAUGAGCAAACUGAGCGUUUUUGUUCUUGUUUGAAAGGUUUUCAACAAAAAUCGGUGAGUGACUGGAAUUUGGAAGAUUAUUCUGGUGGUUGUGUGAGGAAAACCCCGCUGCAGUGUGAAAAUAAUAGUCUUGCCAAUGGAAAAAGCGACCAAUUUUUGCAGUACAUUAACAUGAAUUUGCCUAAACAUCCACAAUCUGUGGCAGUAGGGGGUAUCAGGGAAUGUGAAACACACUGCUUGAAUAACUGCUCUUGCACUGCUUAUGCUUACAAAGACAACGCUUGCUCGAUUUGGGUAGGAAGUUUCGUGGGUCUGCAACAGCUACAAGGAGGUGGAGAUACCAUUUAUAUCAAGCUUGCCGCUUCUGAGUUCGAGAGUCCCAAGAAUAACAAGGGAGUAGUCAUUGGCAGUGUUGUGGGCUCAGUGGCUGUCGUAGCUCUUAUUGGCCUGAUCAUGCUUGUACACUUGAGAAGGAGAAAGACAGCAACUGUAACAACCAAAACUGUGGAGGGUUCUUUGGUGGCAUUUGCAUACAAGGAUUUGCAAACUGCCACAAAGAAUUUCUCUAAAAAGCUGGGGGGAGGAGGUUUUGGUUCAGUUUUCAAAGGGGUGUUGCCGAAUUCAAGUCUUAUAGCUGUGAAGAAGCUUGAAAGCUGGAGCCAAGGAGAGAAGCAAUUUCGGACUGAAGUCAGUACCAUAGGGAAUAUCCAACAUGUCAAUCUGGUUCGGCUUCUGGGUUUCUGCUCUGAAGGUACUAGUAGGUUGUUGGUCUACGAUUUCAUGCCAAACGGUUCUUUAGACUCUCAUCUCUUCACUGAAAAAGAUUCAGACUUUCUUGAUUGGAAGACAAGAUACCAAAUUGCACUGGGGACAGCCAGAGGUUUGGCUUAUCUUCAUGAGAAGUGCAGAGACUGCAUCAUACACUGUGACAUAAAGCCAGAGAACAUUCUGUUAGACGCUGAAUUUUGUCCCAAAGUGUCGGAUUUUGGGCUGGCAAAGCUUGUUGGGAGGGAGUUCAGCCGUGUCCUAACAACCAUGAGAGGAACAAGAGGUUACCUUGCACCUGAAUGGAUUUCAGGAGUGGCCAUAACAGCCAAAGCGGAUGUCUACAGCUAUGGAAUGAUGCUGUAUGAAUUUGUAUCAGGAAGGAGGAACUCCCAGGAAUCUGAAGAUGGUAAAGUGAAGUUCUUCCCAUCUUGGGCUGCUAAACAAAUAGUUGAAGGCAGCAAUCUCAUUAGCCUAUUAGACCCAAGACUGGAGGGCAACGCUGACGAAGAAGAGCUUGCAAGACUUUGCAAUGUGGCUUGUUGGUGCAUCCAAGAUGAUGAGACUCACAGGCCAUCAAUGGGUCAAGUAGUUCAAAUUCUUGAGGGAGUUUUGGACGUGACACUGCCUCCAAUUCCCAGAGCUCUCCAAGUAAUGGUCGAUGACCAUGAGCACGUAGUCUUCUUCACUGAAUCAUCCACAUCUCAGAGUUCCCUGUCAAAGAGCAACAAUUCAACUGCUUCAUCUCAAGCAAAGAGUACCACAUCAUCAAGAAGUUCUUAAAUCGAUGUGAAGAAAAUAUUUUAACAUUUGUGUUUAAGAAUAUAUAUUUGGUUUAUUUCACUUGUAACAACCUGUAUGCAUAUUUGGAUAGAAGCCUUGCUUCGUAGUGUAUAAUAAUAAUGCCCCCUGCCAAAGCAAUUUUAAGAAUCACAAGCCUUGUGCCUCGCUGUUCUCUCUAAUGAACUCUGAUUGAUCUAUGCUCCUCUGCAUUGACUAUUGGCUUCACCUAAUCGCUUCAAUUGGCAAAAUUAGGUAUUGAAAUGAAAGCGACUUGGAACUUGGAAGUUAUCCAGAAGAAGGGGAAAAACAGCAAAAACAAUCAAACAAACAAACAUAAACGUGACGUAGUAACAAAUAACAUGGGUCAAGAUAUAAAUCAACUGGCCAACAUUGUUCAAUAAACUUUUUCCAACAUCUAAACUUUUUCAACCGAACCUGAAUUUUCUUGAGAGUUUUUUUGAGGCAUCAUGAUUGGUAAGGAGCUUGAAGGCAAAGUUCAACAGUUUCAUGACAAAGUUACAACCAUCGAUGAAAAGGUUACGACCUUAGCCAAGCAAAAUAACGAUUUGCAGAAACUCAUGAAACAUCCUUCAGCAAUUGAGCCAGUUGCGAAAAGAAAAACAACCGACUACUGAUCAAAGACAAGUUGAUAUAUUUACUGGAGGGACCUCUGCUCCUCAAAUGGUAAUUGCUACCCAACCACCUCUUGAACCUGCCGAACGCAUUGGAAGUACUCUCAUGCAAGCUCGUAACAUAUGACUUGACUUUCUUAUUUUUCAUGGUGCCAAUCAAACGGGAUGGAUUUUUCGAUAUGAGCAAUAUCGUCGCCUUACUGGAUUAUCAGAUGCUGACUUAUUGUCCUUAGCUAUUGGCCAUCUUGAUGGUGAUACUGUACCUUGGUUUAAUUGGAUAGAGCAAACUAUGGGCGCAAUUUAAACGGGCUUUGACUACUCAAUUUGGGACAUUAGAAGAGAAUGAUGCAGUUGGCAGUCUUACCAAACUACGUCAAAUAGGGACCGUUCUUGACUAUCAACGACAAUUUGAAAAGUUGGCUAAUCAGACUAGAAAUUUAACUGAGUCUUUCUUUAUCAGUUGUUUCCUCUCUGGGUUGCGUGAAGAUAUCAAGGCUGGCGUACAACUGUUCAAACCUGUUAGUCUUGUACAAACUUUUGAACUUGCUAGGUUUAGUAAAAGACAAUUACUUUGCAAGGCAACUGUUCCCCUGUUCCUGCCAUCCAAGAUCUAGUCCCACAAUUACAGCCGACUCCUACUCCACCAACACCCUCUUUAUUAGGACUGAUUUCCUCUACCUUACCUAAUAAUGUCAAACGUUUAUCCUCAGCUGAGCAGACAGAAAGACGUUCUGAAGGGCUCUGUUUCAACUCUGAUGAGCAAUUCAAGCCUGAACAUCGUUGCAAACAAUCUCAACUAUUGCUUUUAGACGCUGCUAUACCUCUUCACAACCCUCCAAAACCGCCUGACCAUCAUUCGGAUUGGAAGAUCUCGAUUAUUGAGACUGGGUAAAAGGCUUUCAGACAAGCCUGUUUGAAGGGGCAGGGAAUGUUAGGACCCUAAUAAUUUAUUUUAUUACUUGUUUUAAUUUUUUUUCCUAUUAAUACUAGGUUUUCUUAUUUCAAUUAUGAAUUAAUGCUCUUAUUAAAUUACAAUUAGAACCGUCUUGAACUACUAUAAAUAAGUGGUUCUUAUUAUAUUUUUGAAGGAGCAACAAUAAAAUUAAUUCUAAUCUCAGUUAAUUCUUCUCUCUUCCCUCUGAAUUCUUAAAUUCUUCAUUUAUUUCUCCCUUAAUUCUCUAACCAAAACCUCAUAAUCCUACCAGUAACGGACUGCAUUACGUUCGAGAAGACGAUUUACACACACACAAGAUAAUAAAGGCAUUUAAAUCACCUAAUUAAGUUGUAUAGGGAUAAAUAAUUAAAUUACAAAAAGCUCGACAUAUACUGAAAAAUAAAAAAGAAAUUGAACAAAGUCAUAAAUUUAUUGACAUCUAAAUUCUGAAAAUUGGUGUGUGUCUUCAGUAGGGAAAGUUAUCAUUUACAUACGGUUAUUUUUAUUGAUAUUUAAUACCUCUAUUUUAUGUUCAAUUGGAAGGAAUUCUAGGCUGUUCAGUUUUCUACUUACGGUAUUAUCACGAUCGUUGUUAUUGAGAAAAUUGUGGCAAUUUUUUUGAUUGAUAAUGAUGAUUUUAGUACGUGGCAGGCUCGGUGAUGCUGUUAUUUCGCGGAGCAUUUGGAUGCCCGCUCUAUACUGGUGAUUUUCGCUGGGAAGCAAGUAAUCAGAGGGCCGAGAUAGGAAGGAACACGCUCGUCAAAGCUUUAAAAGAUGAUGUAGUCGACAUUCUUUAUUUGGAUAACACAUAUUGCAGUCCAUCAUAUGCUUUCUUGUUUGAGAACUUUAUAUAUCCAAACUGAUAUAUGAUAGCAGGUACACUUUUUAUAUUUUUCCUUUCUUGUUUGAGAACUUUCAGUUUCACUCCAGAAUUAUCUACUGAAUUAAAGAUUAAAAUGGGAGAUGAAAGAAAUAGUCCAGGUACUGAUUUGUAGUGUUAGUUAUCUGGAUGAAAACAGAUUGUUGACAUAAUUGCCUCCCAUCCAGAUCAUGACAUCAUCAUUGGGAUUGACUCACUUGGAAAAGAAAAACUUUUAUUUCACAUAUCGCAUAAGCUCAAUAUAAAGGUUUGCUCACCCUUUUAAUAUCGGAAAACCUUUUCUUACAUAACGAUCAUCACGAUGGUCUCUCCAAGGGGGAUGAAAUCGAUAGCAUAUAUACAGCAAAUUGACAUGUUAUCUAAUUUUUGGAUCACUUGUAGAUGAUUUAGAAGGAUUUUGAUAGUUUUUAUUCUUCUAACAUCUAAAAUAUGUUUUACUUUUUAGAAACUGGGCGGGUUAGAUUGUCAUUUGGUGGAUUUAAUUGUGGCCAAAUUCAUACAUGAAAUGUAUUGUCACACAUGUAUUAUUGGAUGCAUCCAAUUGUAUGUUCUUCCUCUUCAUGUGCCAUGAGAACUUAAAACUGCCCUCUUCAUCUCUUGCAAAAUGUUGUUUAGUCACAAGCAAGUGGAAUAAAAUUUUUGCAUUCAUUUCCAAAGCAGAUAUUUACUCUGUGUUUCUUGUUUCACAUUUCUUUUUUUUUUUAUAGAUUUGGGUGUGGCCAGAACGCCUGCAAACCAUGCAUCUGCUUGGCUUCCAUGACACAUUCACAACCAAAACUUCUCUUGCUAGAGUGCGAGCUGUUCCACGGUAUAGUUUUAGCAUUGAUACUUUAGAGAAUUUAAAUACAAUGCACCAAACCAUUGGAAUUAUGCCAUCUGGUCUUCCUUGGGUGGUUAAGCCUCUUAAAGGAGGUCCUGGUUCUCUUUUUGCUUCUUACCAAAGCAAAUGGAGAGCAACGGGUUGAACUCAGACUGAGAAACUAAAAGAAGCUUUGGGAUCAGUGGACAGGUUUCGUAAGUACAUAUAUUCAGUUCCAUAUUCUGAUCAGUCCUGCUUUGCAGGGAUAGAGGAAUUUUUAAACCGUGCCCAGCCAUCGAAUAUCAGAGGCAUCGUGUCUUCAUCGUCCUGUUAUGUUGACCCUCUUUACUACUUUGGCCACCUUUGCAGAGCAAAUCAACCAUCACUGAGGUAUAAGCAGCAACAGAGAGUGCAGCACAAAACAGUUGUAGCCGCCCAAAUGAAAUUCAUUGUUGAAAGUGGUAGAUCCACUAAGGUAGAUAGGAAACGAAGGACUGCGGAAGUAGGUAUUUUAGGAGUUCGCAUGAGUAAGGUGGAUGCCCUUAGGCGGGCCCGACGAGGUGCGAAGCUUGCUCGAAGUGAGAGUUCUGAUUAAUUAGUGUCAAAUAUCAAUAUCAGGUAAGCUUGAAAUUCUUGCGAGUAAUGUUGCCUGUAUCAGUUUGAAUUCAGAGUCUAUUGUAUGGUUGAAGAAUACAUAUGGUGGUGUAGGGUGUAAGAAAAAUAAUCUUUUAUUUAUUUAUUUAUUUAUCUUGGAUGUCUAAAGCGACGGCCUAUUAGUGCUCAUUAAAGAAAAUGGUUGUGCGAAAGCACUUCGUCUGGAUCAAUCAUUUGAUUGUUUACGCGGGAUAGUUAUAGCGACUUUUCAAACUCGUGGCCUUUAAACACAUUAUAGUUUGCAAUCGUGGUCUUUACUCUUUACUUGAUUUGCAAUGAGGUAAAGAAGUCAAAUGACGGACCAAGAUAUUAGUUGAAGAAGCCAUACUACGGAUACGUCGCACGAGGUAUAUGUAAUCCCACGACACCUGGCAAGCGGACCGAAUCCAUGCGACUAUAGUAGCAGAGUCCGAUUCUACCUGCAAUAUAGAAUGGCCGAGGUGAGCUGCAAGCUCUAAGCUCUCAUGAACAGCCAUAAGCUCUAUGUAAAGGAUCGGACGAUAACCUAGGAAUGAUCCAAAAGUGCCUAAGAGCUCUCCCCAAGAGUCACGUAAAAUGCCCCCUGAAGCAGCCAUCCCUGGGUUUCCCCUAGAGCACCCAUCCACUGUCAACUUCACCACCCCCGGAGGUGGUCGAAUCCGAGAAAUCAGCCGAAGUGGUCUCCUAUGCCGUGUAACAACACGCCAUCCGUCCACUAAUCUACUAUCCAGGACGCCGCGCAGUUGGGAUGUUUUAAAACCGAAAGCAAAGCUGGCCAGCUUAAGAUCUGAAACUACUCGAAAAAUGACCGCAUCUACAAAAAAUGCCAUUGAAUCAAAUCUGUAAGCAUUUCGGGCCUUCCACACGUGCCAGAGGAUGAAACAAGGAAGUAGAACUCAAAUAUGGUUUCGGGAAGGAGCACAGCGCCUCCAGUGGCGAAGCAGCGCAUGAGGGGAGCGUUAUCUUUACUUGAUUUGCAAUAAGGUAAAGAAGUCAAUUGGGUAAUUUUUUUCUGUGAGAGUGAAUUGCGGCAAACGUGAGCAAAUUUUGCAUCAUUGUGCAUUUUGUUGUAGAAUGAGGAGAGUCAAUUUUCCUGACUAUCUAGACGAGUCUUUAGUUGAAUCUCUCCAUGGCCAUAAGUGGCCGGCAUAGACCAAAUCCUGAAACUGGUCAUAGUCCAAUAUGCAGACCACUCUGACUAUGGUCAAGACACUGGAAAAUGGUGAACGUUAGCUAAGUUUUGAAAGUUACCAAAAUUUAAUAAUAUCAUGUUUCUGAUUUCUAAUCAUGUUUUUUAUUUUGAAGAUUUCAGUUUUGACAAUUUGACUAAAUAAAUAUGCGGGUUAAAAUUUUCAUGAUCUAAAAAAAUGUAACGAGAACUAAUAAAAUUUAUUAUUUUAUUACGGUUUAUAUCAUUUGAAAUGUUGAUUCAAUAUAAAUGAUAUGUCCGGCCUUGUGGUGGCUGGUGGGUGCAAUUUGAGAUGGUAAAAUUUUUUUAUUUUGAAGACAAGAUGUGAAUCCCAUUUAAUAUUAUUAUUAAAUUAAGCAGUAUAAAGAAGUUAAGCAACCCAAAACCAUAAAGAAGUCAAACAGGCUAGAAGCCGUAAAGAAGUCUAGAAGCCAUAAAGAAACCGAAUAUCAUAAACUAAAGAAAAGAUAAAAUAUAGAGUAAUAACAGCAGCAAAAAAACAGAGAACAGUAGCGCCACAACAGAUCUAAUACUUGUCCGUUUGUAAUCAUAUGUUUGCUGUUGUUCUUUGUUUAUUGCAGCUGCUAUUACUCUCAUUUUAGCUUUUCCUUAGCUUAUGAUCUUCGGUUUCUAUAUGGCUUCUUGGCUGCUUAACUUCUUUACGGCUUCCAGGCCGCUUGACCUCUUAACGUCUCCUAAGUGUUUGACUUCUUUAUGGUUUACCCCAAAAUGACCGAAGUGUUCCACAUUUAUGUAUUUUAAAGAGGUGCAACCUCAAGAUUGUAAUUUGUAAAGGGCAUAAUUGUCAGUUCAAUUAGCUUAGUUGACUUGGGGAAGGACUAUAACAUCGUUCUUCUUCUCUAUGUCGGUCUGUCUAGCUGUUGUCUUUCUCUUAUGAGCAAUAAAACAAUACAUGAUAUGUAAAUUAUUUUUCACUCAAGUAUCUAUCUUGAUAGCACAGAAUUUGUUGUUGUUGCAGCAGCCAUGGCAAUCAUCAAGAACAAUUCAUGGUUGAUGCUUUUUGUUCUUUUUACGUGCUUUUCACUCAAAUCCCAUGUCUCCUUCGGAGCUGACACCGUUUCUGCAAACCAAUCUCUCUCUGGCGAUCAAACGAUCGUUCAAGGCGGAUGUACGGUACAGCAGUUCCUUCACGAGAAGUUGCAGCUCAGCAGGUUCUCUUCGGUUUUAAGAAUCUCAGAUGGUAACUUAGUUCUUUUUAAUGAGUCCCAACUACCCAUUUGGUCCACAAAUUUGACCGCUACCAGCAGACGUUCUGUGGAAGCAGUUCUUUUAGAUGAAGGAAAUCUUGUUUUGAGAGAUUUGUCAAAUAAUUUGUCAAAGCCUUUAUGGCAAAGUUUUGAUCAUCCAGCUCAUACUUGGAUUCCCGGUAUGAAGCUGACGUUCAACAAGAGAAACAACGUCAGUCAACUUAUCACUUCAUGGAAGAAUAAAGAAAAUCCUGCACCGGGUCUCUUCUCCCUUGAGCGAGCACCAGAUGGAUCAAAUCAAUAUGUUAUGUUGUGGAAUAGGUCUG
This 8723-nucleotide long non-coding RNA is filed under the name Citrus sinensis (sweet orange). RNAcentral describes it as "long non-coding RNA (CSIN_LNC000818)". The record is from RNAcentral. Lineage: Eukaryota; Viridiplantae; Streptophyta; Magnoliopsida; Sapindales; Rutaceae.